Molecule: ribosomal RNA, 417 nt
Filed under: uncultured bacterium
Lineage: Bacteria
Description: bacterial SSU rRNA
Rfam family: Bacterial small subunit ribosomal RNA
Source: RNAcentral
UCGAGAAUCUUCGGCAAUGGGCGCAAGCCUGACCGAGCGACGCCGCGUGGAGGACGAAGGCCUUCGGGUUGUAAACUCCUGUCGAGGGGGAAGAAGGCCCCGCAAGGGGCUUGACUGAUCCCUGGAGGAAGCACGGGCUAAGUUCGUGCCAGCAGCCGCGGUAAGACGAACCGUGCGAACGUUAUUCGGAAUCACUGGGCUUAAAGCGCGUGUAGGCGGGAGGGCACGUCCGUCGCUGAAAUCCCCCGGCUCAACCGGGGAACGGGCGCGGAUACGACCUUCCUGGAGGGGCGUAGGGGGACCUGGAACUUCCGGUGGAGCGGUGAAAUGCGUUGAGAUCGGAAGGAACGCCCGUGGCGAAAGCGAGGUCCUGGACGCCUACUGACGCUGAGACGCGAAAGCCAGGGGAGCGAACGG